This 497-nucleotide ribosomal RNA is filed under the name uncultured bacterium. RNAcentral describes it as "partial 16S ribosomal RNA". It matches the Rfam family "Bacterial small subunit ribosomal RNA", at positions 28 to 507 of the family's 1533-position model. The record is from RNAcentral.
GAUGAACGCUGGCGGCGUGCCUAAUACAUGCAAGUCGAGCGAACAGACGAGGAGCUUGCUCCUCUGACGUUAGCGGCGGACGGGAGAGUAACACGUGGAUAACCUACCUAUAAGACUGGGAUAACUUCGGGAAACCGGAGCUAAUACCGGAUAAUAUAUUGAACCGCAUGGUUCAAUAGUGAAAGACGGUUUUGCUGUCACUUAUAGAUGGAUCCGCGCCGCAUUAGCUAGUUGGUAAGGUAACGGCUUACCAAGGCAACGAUGCGUAGCCGACCUGAAAGGGUGAUCGGCCACACUGGAACUGAGACACGGUCCAGACUCCUACGGGAGGAAGCAGUAGGGAAUCUUCCGCAAUGGGCGAAAGCCUGACGGAGCAACGCCGCGUGAGUGAUGAAGGUCUUCGGAUCGUAAAACUCUGUUAUUAGGGAAGAACAAAUGUGUAAGUAACUAUGCACGUCUUGACGGUACCUAAUCAGAAAGCCACGGCUAACUACGUG